AACUAAUCUCAUGCUUCUCUACCCCCACAUUCUCAGAUCCUUCACCCGAAAGAUCUCACGUGCAAAACGAAAAAGCUCCGUCCAAUUCCAGAAAUCCUAACUUCACUGCAGCAAUGUAAAACAAAUGCAAACAUCUAAUUUCGCAAUCGGUUCCUAUCCUUUCUACUGCUAGCGCCACUGUCAAUUGUAAAGCUAACCAAACUAUAUAGAACCAGCAAAACGAUGGGAACCUGCUGCGGAUAGGUAUUCCGCUUCCCGUUGCCACCGUCUUUGGCCAUGCUCCUUCAGGCCUUGAUAUUGUAUUUCUUCUUCUUCCGUCGCCGGCGCUCUCUCUCCCGCACUUUUACAUUGGCGGUGGCGAAGGAUGAGAAAUUGGCUAUCGGCGUUCACUUUUACAACGCCGUUCCGAUAUGCUAACGUUUCCGCGGACAUCAUGAAGUAUCAGCUGACUCAGUUUCAGAAAGGGAAACAACGGUUAAAGUAAUUUACACUUUGACACACGGUGGGCCCAACUAUUGUUAAUAUCAUAAAGGAUAAAUUUGUCAUUUGCAUGGUUGAGUACUGCUGAAUGAAACUGUGUUUCGGUGCAUCAGGUCCUCUCUCUAAUUUCAAUUUUUCAAAGGUUCUCUCUCAUUUUGUAAGAACUCUUCAUGCUAGGGUUAGGAUUGAGAGAAAAUGCGAGAAAAAAUAAAAAAUGAAGAACUCCAUGACUGCCACUUAAUCGAAGAUUAGACGUGAUAGGAAGAGUUCAAACCAGCAAAGUCAAAGUAGAUGAUCGAAACAUUAGAGGGAGCAAGGGCAUGAGAUAGAGAGUUGCGCUAGGGAGAACACCAAAUGCACAAUCAGUGACGAGCGAGAUCGAUGGUGAGUGAGAGAGACUAAGAGAACGAGUUUGGUAGUAAGAGAGUCAACACAGAAGCAUAAGAGUGAAAGUUUUCCAUUUUGUGAUUGCUAUGACGUGGGAAGCUUUUAUGGUAAUUCUAUGUCUUUUUAUUCUGAUUUAGAAUAAAUUUGUGUCUUACUAAUUUUCGUGUUUCCAUCAUGUUUGAUGAUAUGAAUUGUUUUAUUCGAAAUUAAUUAUUCCCCAACUGGUUGUUAAUUGCAAAAUUCAAUAUAGAAAAUAACAGUUUUGUGUGAUUGAUUAUUCUUACGGAGUUAAACCACACAUCAUAAGCACACCAUUUUUUCUUGAAUGAAGCUACUCUAACAACCAACAACAAUGUCAUCAUACGACUUCUUCAGCUGCAUCUAUAGAAAGAGAAGCAUUAGCAACUUUAUUUUAAAAACCUUAAGUCCAAAUUAUGUUGAGUAAGAUUUAAAAAAUGAGAGAGACAUAGAGUGUUUCAUUUUCUGUGUUCUGAAGAAAUAAAAUAAACAAAUCACGGGAGAAAACAGAACAACAAACAAAUUGGCCUAGUGAUAUCAUGUAUAGUAUGUUUAAAAAAUACAUUCAAUAUUCAUAGACUGAGCAAUAAAUUCUGCCGAAGUAAGAGGAAUCAAUCUCAUUUCAUGCACAGAUUUUUAUAUUUUCAUAUUCAUCACAUUUUUAAGAUUUCGAAAGUAAUAAUCGAUUUUCAUUAUAUUAGCAAAAUUAUUAGUAUAUUAUCCCUAAACUUUUAAAUACCGAAGUAGGCUCAAG
RNAcentral lists this small RNA (1639 nucleotides) under Vigna angularis var. angularis. RNAcentral describes it as "Non-protein coding transcript". The record is from RNAcentral. Lineage: Eukaryota; Viridiplantae; Streptophyta; Magnoliopsida; Fabales; Fabaceae.